This 422-nucleotide unclassified non-coding RNA is filed under the name Hevea brasiliensis (rubber tree). The record is from RNAcentral. Lineage: Eukaryota; Viridiplantae; Streptophyta; Magnoliopsida; Malpighiales; Euphorbiaceae.
GGAUAGUUCUUAUAGCUAAACGCAAUGUCUCUGCUGGUGAUGAGUUAACGUAUGAUUAUUUGUUUGAUCCUGAUGAGCAUGAUGAUGUUAAAGUGCCCUGCCUAUGUGGAGCUCCCAAUUGCCGGAAGUUCAUGAACUAGUGUAGCUGAUGUACAAGAUUUGUCGUACAGCGACAGGCUAACAGUGCAUACAUGAUACAACAAAAUAUAUCUUCUCUUCUUCUUUUGGUUCUGUUUUGUAAUAGCAGUCUUUCACAGCCCAAUUGAAUUUUAAUCUCCAAAUAAUGUUUAUACACCAGCUAUUUAGCUGGCCUUUUACAUCCCCCCUCCAUGUUAUGAGCAUCAACAAAGGUAAAAAGAAAAAAAUGCUGAAUUUUGCAGCGUGUAUUGGAUUUAUUUAGCAAAAGAGGGCUAAAGUCCCGC